UUUUAUUCCUAAAUUAUUAUCAUUUGUAACGAAGAUCCAUAUUUUUAGUUUUCAAAGAAAAAGUUAAUCAAGGUUUUAUGCUAUUACAAUACUUAAUUAUGCAUAUACUGAUGUAAACAUUACAGAUAAACUUAUGUGUGCUAAUUUGUCUAAAUUCAUCAUUUCUCCAGGUAUCCUCGCUAACCUUAAUAAACUAUUUCUUUCAUCUUCAUUUAUUAUCGAAGCACUGUUCUGUUCAAACAUUUUUUAUUUUUUAUUUUCUCAUAUUCAUACAUGAUAUAAUACACCCAAAAAUCUAUACUCUGUACACAGUUGUUCCUAAAUCAAACAUAUACAGAGUAUUUAUGUAUAUAGAUAAGAAACUAUAUGCAAAGGAAACUUAUCAUAAAUUACAUGAUUAAAAAGUUCGACAAAAUUAAAGUACUAUAUAAUUAAAGUUUAGUAAAAAAAAUUAUAAAUUUAUAUGCUUUAUUUGUACUUAUUUUUGUCCUUUUCGUAUAUCUUUUUAUUCAUGUCACUUUGAUUUUUAAAGAAAUAUUUGAAGAGUAUAUGCAUGUAAAACAUUUUCUUUCGAUAUAUUUUUUCAGUAUAUUUCUGAUUGGUAUCUUUUCUUUUUCUAUAAUUGUGAAAAAUUAAAGAUGUAUGUUAUAUAAUGUACGUUAUGUGGUACAGAAUUUAUUUCAUAUUUUACUCACAUAAAUUUAUUUAAAUUACUGUUGUAUAUAAGUGAACAAUAGUAAGGUUAUGUUUACAUAAUCAUCUAUAGAUAAAUCUAAUCGUUCAUAAAAUUCUUUAUAAAAUUGAUGGUUAGUAUUCUGUGUAUUUUUAAUUCUUCUGAAAGUAAGUUUUGUAUUAAUUGUGCAAUAUUAAUAUUACGAUACAUUAAAGUUACAUCCAUUGGUAUAUGACCGGCUCUGUUUUUCCGAUUUGAUUUGCUCACUUCUCAAUAAGAUAACUGUAUAAUUUCAAAAUUUAAAACUUAAUUUAAAAAUGUUAUAUAAAUAUUUUAUUUUCACAGUUACUAACGUAAUCAAUUUCAUAUUUUCUGUCAUAGGUGAUAUAUAUAACGGCUUGUGUAAACCCAUAAAAUCUGUUGUAUCUGCAAUUUUUCGAAAUAGAAAACCAAGUAUUUCUAUAUCCUAUACCUUUCAUGUACAGAAAGUAGCUUUAAGAAAUAAACCUAAUGAAAUUUGAUUUGAUUUAGCAUGAAUGAAACAAUAGUUCUGUGAAGAAAUUUGAUUCCAUCAAUUUUAUGAAUACCUUUAAAUCGAUUGUACUCAUUUAUCCCUAAUUUACUCAUUGUACUCACGCAAUAUUAAUAAUUUAAUCAUAGGAAGGGAAGAUCUUCAUAUGACACUAGUAUACAAAGGGCUUUCAUAAAAGACAUCAUAAAUAUUUACAAGUGCACCAUUUCUUAAUAAUAGGGAAGCACUUUUAAUAUCCUUUCAAAGAGCAGCAUAAUGCAAAGGAUAUCUACCUAAAUUAUAUUACAGCAUUAUUUUGAAAUAACUUCUCAAUUGCAUUUUUAUAUCUAAGAAAAGCAGCUUUGUGAAGGAAUGUUAAUCCUGUAUAGAAAUAUAUACAUAUAUAUGUAUAUGUAAUUUUUUUUAACCAAUUUUAGAUUAUUAAUUUAAAUUAGUAGUGUAUUUAUUAAUGCAUAAUCAUAAUAUAAAUUAAAAAAAGUAGAAUAAGAAAAAUCUGAAUAGUUUUUUUGUAAAGUAAUUGUCUAGCAAAUUGAUAUCUAUAAUGAAUAUUUUUUAUAAUACGAAAUAUCAAUUCGGUUUAACGAUUAACUAACCAUCUAUUGUUUCUGCUUCAAUGUUAAUGGGUGAUUGCAAAGCAAUUGAAUAAGUUCUGUGUCAUUAUGACCGCAAUAUCCAAACGAGUUAAUCAUGUCUUCUACAAUUGACAUCUGCAUGCUAAAUAAAACCAUUUAUAAAAUUAAUAUUAGAUGCAUCUAACCGUACUCUCUAUUAAUUAAAAUUGGUGGUUAAGAAUUUUUAUAUUUGAGAGAGCGCUUCUCUUGCCAUGUGCACCUGACGAAUGGUAUAAACUAGUAAUUAUUUCUAACAUUGUCGUUUAUCGAUUUUGGCCAACUUGCAGAAUUGACUAUUACGAUACGACGUCGCUUACUCAUUUAUUAUAAUAUUUAUUCGACGAUGCUCAAAAGAAUUUAAAGGUUAAUAUUAGCACAAAUAAAACAAAAGAUGUAGACCCGAUCGUAGAUCUGUUCAUGACACGAUGCACACGAGUGACACGACACCGUUGUAACGUCACAGGUCAGGCGAGUCACACUUGUAACUACGUUUGAGAGUAAAAAUAAAAGUUUGACGUAAGGAGCUUCAAAGUAAUUGAUCAUUCUAUGACGUAUCGUACAGCGUCGUCGUCUACGUCACUUACUUAACGAUGACGAUUCUAUGUAAACGCUAUAAAUACCAUCGAUAGCCUUCGUUACGAAACUAUCGACUUCCGAUUUGAAUCGGAACAUCUAGAGGUUCCUUAUACUAUCGAAUGUAUAUAUAUAUAGUCUGUUGUUAAAGAGAAGAAACGUACAAAAAAGAAAGAAAAAUAUCGUGUUUAUAUUUUACAAUUAUUCUAUACUAUUUUAUGUGUAUAUAUAGUUUUUUGUUAUAGGCUAAAAAUUAUUGUAGAUCAAGGCAGGAGAAAACCAAUCCUAUAUGCUCUGCAGAUCAACUUCGAUAACGACAGCUUCUCGAAGUCGUAUUGAACCGGCUUGGUCGUCAAGUCCACCGCCGUUUCUGCCGAGGGCAACGCCCUCGCCAGCCCUCUCAUCCCCAUUCAGAAGAAACGUCGAAGAAAAAGAGGGAUGUUCCGAGCAAGAGGGCGGGAAGGGUGAGUUCUCGCAGGGGUGGGAAUUACAGACUGGUUACCGAGUCGAUUCACUCUGCCCAAGGCAGCUUGUUCUACAGGUGAAUUCGCCCUAACACAUCCUAAUCUCAUCUGUGUGGAACGCAAUCGUCAAACAAUAGAAGCAAUAUGAUAUAAAUGUCUCGUAAACGAUAUUCACAACUUGACGAAAUUCUAAACUGAUUGAAGGAAGUAGAUAGUAUGACAAUUGAUCGAACAAUCGAUCAAUCAGAUUUAAAUUGUUUAGUAAAUUCCUUUUAUAAUUUUCUACUUUUUCCUUUAUUUUCUUUUUUUCCGUUUAAUAAUAACAAUAAAAAAAUUAAUACGA
This is a long non-coding RNA of Bombus huntii, 3196 nucleotides long. RefSeq lists it as uncharacterized. The record is from RefSeq and is a predicted model, not a curated record. Lineage: Eukaryota; Metazoa; Arthropoda; Insecta; Hymenoptera; Apidae. The transcript is spliced from 3 exons.